UACGAAGGGGGCUAGCGUUGCUCGGAAUCACUGGGCGUAAAGCGCACGUAGGCGGAUUGCUAAGUCAGGGGUGAAAUCCUGGAGCUCAACUCCAGAACUGCCUUUGAUACUGGCGACCUUGAGUCCGGGAGAGGUGAGUGGAACUGCGAGUGUAGAGGUGAAAUUCGUAGAUAUUCGCAAGAACACCAGUGGCGAAGGCGGCUCACUGGCUCGGUACUGACGCUGAGGUGCGAAAGCGUGGGGAGCAAACAGG
This 253-nucleotide ribosomal RNA is filed under the name uncultured bacterium. RNAcentral's name for it is "partial 16S ribosomal RNA". It matches the Rfam family "Bacterial small subunit ribosomal RNA", at positions 524 to 776 of the family's 1533-position model. The record is from RNAcentral.